This 26-nucleotide non-coding RNA is filed under the name Rattus norvegicus (Norway rat). The record is from RNAcentral. Lineage: Eukaryota; Metazoa; Chordata; Mammalia; Rodentia; Muridae.
UACAGCAGCCACUUUGCGACCUCCCA